This 22-nucleotide ribosomal RNA is filed under the name Diadegma chrysostictos. RNAcentral describes it as "partial 28S ribosomal RNA". The record is from RNAcentral. Lineage: Eukaryota; Metazoa; Arthropoda; Insecta; Hymenoptera; Ichneumonidae.
ACGACCUCAGAGCAGGCGAGCA